GGUUAGCUAUAAUAUGGAAAGUUUAAAAAGUUAAAAUCCACAAAGCAUAAAGUAUAAAUAUGGAAUCUGGAAGCACUGAAAAAGCAUUGUAUUGAAUCUGGAUACUAUGUAGAGAGAAAAAUAAACACAAGAUACGAUCAUAAUGUUAAUAGACUACUGGUGUUGAUUUUAAGAGAUAUGUUUGGCUAUAAUCAAGAGAAUGCGAGAAAAAACGCAAAAA
This is a long non-coding RNA of Hydra vulgaris (swiftwater hydra), 220 nucleotides long. RefSeq lists it as uncharacterized. NCBI's taxonomy places the organism in Eukaryota, Metazoa, Cnidaria, Hydrozoa, Anthoathecata, Hydridae. The record is from RefSeq and is a predicted model, not a curated record.